RNAcentral lists this ribosomal RNA (489 nucleotides) under uncultured bacterium. RNAcentral describes it as "partial 16S ribosomal RNA". It matches the Rfam family "Bacterial small subunit ribosomal RNA", at positions 28 to 505 of the family's 1533-position model. The record is from RNAcentral.
GAUGAACGCUGGCUACAGGCUUAACACAUGCAAGUCGAGGGGAAACGACGGGGAAGCUUGCUUCCCCGGGCGUCGACCGGCGCACGGGUGAGUAACGCGUAUCCAACCUGCCUCUGACUGAGGGAUAACCCGUCGAAAGUCGGCCUAAUACCUCAUGGCAUCGUCUGCGGGCAUCCAACGACGAUUAAAGAUUUCAUCGGUCAGGGAUGGGGAUGCGUCUGAUUAGCUUGUUGGCGGGGUAACGGCCCACCAAGGCUACGAUCAGUAGGGGUUCUGAGAGGAAGGUCCCCCACAUUGGAACUGAGACACGGUCCAAACUCCUACGGGAGGCAGCAGUGAGGAAUAUAGGUCAAUGGGCGGGAGCCUGAACCAGCCAAGUAGCGUGCAGGAUGACGGCCCUAUGGGUUGUAAACUGCUUUUAUGCGGGGAUAAAGUGAGGGACGUGUCCUUCAUUGCAGGUACCGCAUGAAUAAGGACCGGCUAAUUCCG